UCCCUGGAGGACUAGUGGUUGGGCUACAGCACUGUCACCGCUGCGGCCCAGGUUUGAUUCCUGGCCAGGGAA
RNAcentral lists this transfer RNA (72 nucleotides) under Pangasianodon gigas (Mekong giant catfish). RNAcentral describes it as "tRNA-Asp". It matches the Rfam family "tRNA". From Rfam's summary of the family: Transfer RNA (tRNA) molecules are approximately 80 nucleotides in length. Lineage: Eukaryota; Metazoa; Chordata; Actinopteri; Siluriformes; Pangasiidae. The record is from RNAcentral.